GCACAGAGCCCGACCCGGGGCUCGAACUCACAAACUGCGAGAUCAUGACCUGAGCUGAAGUCAGAAGCUUAACCUCCUGAGCCACCGAGGUGCCCCAAACAGAUUCUUUUCAACCCGACUUAUCUCAUUUCUCCUGUACAUUAUGAUGCCAAAUUUCAAAACUCAGGUAUUAAAAAUGGGGAAGGCAUUGAGUAUGUAGACAGAGGAAAGGGUAAUUAUAAUUUUCUCUUCCUCACCUGCAGCCAACAUGUCUUUUACUCAGCACCUACUCCGUGUCAUACAGUGUCUAGGCCCUGAGGAUAUGAGCAGGAAUACAACUCCACCCUGCCUUCCUAAUCCUCCCAGAAUUCAUCUUCUCCUGCUCUCUCAUACCUCUUUAUGUACACUUGAGGUAUGCACAUGCAAUGUUGGCAUGUCUUUCCCUGACGGGUGAUGUGCUUCUUAUGAGUACAGAACUUUACGAGGUCUGUCAACACCCAAUAAAAUUUUAAUCUCAAAAUUCUUCAUCUAAUAAGGGUUGUCUUUCAUUAAAUCCUUGGACACCAUUUAUGCAACCUUGUUCUUGGCUUCUCCCCACACACUUUUUAAAAAAAACACUCCCGCCACCAUCAGUCGGGGGUUGGUUGUUUCUGUCUCCUUUUCCUACUUUAGGAUUUACAGUGAUUCUGGAUAAGUGUGCAAAUGAGCAUAUUUGGGAUUCCUGGCCCCUUUUGUAGAACGCAAAAGCUCUCAAUCUACUUAGUAGGGGCCAAGACCUCUGUAUAAGAAAUUGAGUUCUAAAAGAUGAACUUGACCUAUCCACUUAAUACCAAAUUUGUGCAGCACUAUUGGGAAUUUCUUAUUGUUUUUCUUUUGGGCAAAUGAAUUCUCCCCUUUAUCACUCAGCUUCAGAAUACAUACCCAUAAGAUCCUCCUCUGUCUGUUGCGUUGGGCUUGUUCUCUUACUUCAGAGAACACUUUCAAGCCUGUGAUCUUGGACAAAAGCUGCAGGCUGCCUCUCUGUUCUGCAAGUGUUUACCAUAAAUAGGAUUUCUCAGCCUGCUCUUAGAUGGAGCCUUCACUAACGGGGACACCGAGAUGGCAGAAGGUCCAUCCGGAGUGGGAAACUGAGGCUUUGGUUCCUGCUUCUACUUGUUUGCUUCAGUGUGCCGUGAGUGUGGCUCGUCCCUCAGAGAAACAGAAGGGAAGGCAGAAAUUGGGUGUUGGUGGGAGGUGGACAGGAGCCUACUUGUAAGAUGGAAGAUUAUGUGUCAUUUGCAUUUGCUCAUUUGCAUUUGCCCAACCCCAGCCUCCUCAGCCAGCGCUGUAAGAACCUGCCAUGUGAAGGCGAUUUAAUUUACUUUACUAAAAGGAUUCAGAAAGAACAGUUUGUAAACAAAUAUCUCUCUACUGCAGCUUAAAAGCAUUAUUUGUUGUGAGGGUAACCAUAGGUUCCUAAUUGCUGAAAGCAAUGAUUAGUAUACACGAGAGUCCAUUAUACUAUUCUCUUUACCAUUGUAUAUGUUAGAAAUUUGCCGUGAUGCAACGUUUAAAAGGGAUUAGUUGUCAUCUAAUCAGAGCCUUGUAUGCUGUUAUUUGAAGCUGCAUCACUGAGGGAAGUAUGAGAUGUAUGGCUUCUAAACCAGGCCCAAUUUAUUAUUUAUUAAAAAUAAAAGAAGCCAUUAGCUUCAUAAACACAAAAGAAAACAUGGAGGUUCAUAAGAUAUGUCUUAUUGUGAAUACUUUUGACCUGCCAACUGCUGCAAAGACGAUGGAUCAUUUGGAUGUGAAUGUUUAGUUUCAUGUUGCCAAGUACCCAGGAUGCAAUAGCUAUACAUACACAGCAAGAAUGCAAUAAAUACUAUGGGUCUUCCUACUUCAGUUGGUUAAGAAAAUCUCAACGUUAGGUUACUAUGCCCUUUCUGUGACAAAAGAGGCUCCCAUCCCACUUUCAGUGCCGUGAAGGCUCCUUUGCCUGGUGAUUAUUAGGCCUAGGCGACACUGAUCGUGUUGACUCGAAACUGAUUUGUACCUUUCCAUUUAUACUUUAUAGUCAGAAAUAUUUCCUGCCAAGAUGGAAGCCAGGUAGGGAAGCUAAAGCAACCAUGGGAGACCCUCGGGGUUAUCAGAGGAGUCACAGAGCAAGAGGGGCCUAUAUAGACAGGUGUGCAGGAGUACAAGUCUCCCGCUGCGCCACCCCACUCUCCCUCCUGGCCCCCAGCCAUACUCGUGGCAAGACUUACCAAGUUCCUCCUGCCAGCCAGCCAAAGGGCCCUUUCACCCCAUCCGAACAUGUCAUGGUCAUUCGAACUCCCAUCUGCACGGGCAUUGACAUAAAGUUUCCUGUUUUUCUUUUUCCUCUGUUUGUUUCAUCACAACUCUGUGAAGGUACAAAGACAGGGACUAUUUCUCCAGUGAUAUUUAGUGUACAAUGAGAGUAAGAGUGACUCACCCAAGACAAAUCUCCCAUCACUUCACUCGUGGCCAUGGAAAGUUCCUGGGCUUCUUUUAAAUAACAUGAAAGUACGCUAGAUCCUUACUUACCUUUCUUCUUUCUUUCAACAAACACGUAUUGAAUACCUACUGUAUGCCAGGCCCUGCACCAGGUGCCAGGGAGACAAUGUUACAGUCCCGGCCGUCAGAGAGCUUCAUCUCUAGUGCGAGACAGACAUUCAUCCAACACUCAGUCAGAGCAAGGAGAAGCAAGAGAAUGGAUGGGUGGAUUCAUAUUUGCAGUGACUCCUCUGGCUGUUUCAGGACUACAGCAAAACAUCACCAAUUUAGACAGAUCCACUGUGAGUAAAUUGUUCCCUCCCUUUCUUGGUGAGUCAGGCUUCCUCAGGAACCAAACUACAAAAAUAGCUUUUUGGGUUAGAAAAUUGGAACUCGAUGCGAAGCUCCUUCCCCUGCCCGGAAAGUGUUUCACUGCCUUUUUGACUCUUGUUGGCAUUGUAGUGUGAUAGGAGUUACCAGGUGUGCCCUUGACUUGAUCUGAGAACCUCUGUUUUGGUAAACUUUUAUCGCCAACUCUAUAGUUGAUGGGUUUGAGGACCUACUUACUAACCUGUCCGUUCGUUAGCUUGUUUAUAUGUAGAAUGAGAUGCAUUUUUCAAGAUGUGUCCUAGCUCUGAAGUUCUGUGACCAGCCAAGAUUUUUCUUCCCCCUUCAGGGACUUGUGCUAAAACCAUAGCUAUAGCUACCCGACUCAUGUUGGUACAUUCAGGACAUGUGUCCACAUCUGCUUACAGCAACCUUCUUUCAGAGAGAAGUGAGAAUGCCACGGGAUUUCCCAGAACGAUGCUUCAUUGCUGACCCCAACUGGAAGAAUACUGAGAAGGCAUGGGGGAGGUUCCUGAAGCUGCUCAACAAUGCACAACGGGUUAUAGUAUGAAUCGCUGUCACACUUACAUCAGCUGGCACCCUUUUCUCUCCCCUAGACCCCUAGAAAUAGGUUUCUUCGCUUCUCUGGGCCUUGGUUUAUUCAUCUGUGCAACGGGACUGAACUGAUUUAUUUUUGAACGCGCUGCUACAGGAUUCUGUGAUGGGACUGUAAACCUCUUUACAACCGUGGAUGUUUCCACUAGAAUUUUUAACCAUUACAUUUAUUUAUUUAUUUACUGACUUACUUACGGAAUAGGAUGUGUAUGCAUAUAGGUAUAUAUUUUUAUCCCACAAGAGGAAAACAUACUGAAUGCUUUUGACUUGUUAAACUAGGUCCCAUUUCCACCAAGGACAGAAAGUUACAUUUGUCCUCUCCCUUUGUCCUCUCCACUCCUCUCUGCCCUUCUCCCUCCCUUCUACCACUCUGCCUUCCUUCCUCCCUCCCUUCCUCCUUCAGGGAUUACCUGUAAGUGAAACUCCACCAUCAGAGCCCAGUGGCAAUUGUGCCCACGAAAGCUGGGGUAGCAUAUUUAUGGAAGUUUUUUUUCCUAAAGGUUCUUGGGCUUUCUUGUGGGUCGCUGUGACUAAGAGCCCCGCUGUUGACUAAAAGCUUUGCUCAUCUCAGACAAGAACUGGCUCCCCAGUUCCUGCACUCAUUGGAAAAUGAAAUUAAACUCUAGAGGGUGGUGUAGGUGUUUUAUUUUCCUCCAAGUGCAGGAAGGCGCCAAGGCAUUAGAGCGGUACAAAUUUUACUCUUUGUUAGAAUGGAAUGGCACUUCAGAAGAAGGGGGGCAUCGUUUCUGCUCCAAGUAACUUUGCUCAUUUUUUUCCAGCUUGGAAACUUGGUUACUUUCUAAUUAUAGACUGUGUGGCUGGGCGUGUUGUAAGCUAAAACCAGUUCUAUAGGGCUCUGUGCUCUGUUCUUUUCCCUUGACUAUGAAGAACAGGAACAGGUGACAAGCAGAUUUGGAAUUGCUUGAGUCAGGCUUGGAUUUUUUGUUGUUCUUUGUCCUGGGUUUUAUUUAGACAUUCAGCAUAGAUGCCUAUUUUACUUCAACAGAGAAAAAUAGACAAAGCUUGGCAUACUCUUGAUUUUAUGCUUCACCUCAUGAAUCAUUUUAAUAGCUGUUCUGUAAAGAACUGAGUAGGAUACCUUUGCUACUUUGCUACCAACCAUCCAACCAUCCAUCUUUUAUUUGCACUUUAUGCAAAGUGUUUCCUUUAACUUGAACCCUCCACUGUAGUUUUUUGAGUUAAUGUAGAUUUUUGCUUUUCUUUACAGCUGAAAAAUAUUUGGGUGAAACUAAUAAACAACUAGGGGUAAGCUACCCAUGAUGCUACUACCCCUGUAUAACCAAUGUAGUCUUUCAGGAUAAUUUCUUCUGGAAUCUCUUGAGAGCUAGGAAUGAGAUUUAUUAAUCGGUGACAGUUCCUGGGCCUCUCCACUCCAUUUCCUCACCACCUGCUGAAAAAGAUUUUAUUUUUGUCCUAAUUCUUCCUUUCUCCAGGCCUAUAAUUGUCUUUCCCAGAUUCUGGGCUUAAAUCAGCGGAUAGGGCAUAACCCAGAUAAAAUUUUAAAAGAGAGAAAAGUACAGAGUGACUUGUGGCCCCCAGAUGAUAAAGAAGUGGUGAAGGACAGACAGAAUAGUUCAUGUUCUGCGUACUGGAAAAGCCUGGAGGAGUGGGGUGGUGAACCCUGGCUAGAAGAAGAUCUGCAGAAUGAGUAGGGAACCAAGGUUUGGGUCGGAGAAGGAACAGCUUCGCUAUGAAGUAUGAAUUGAAAUUGCAUUCAUGUUAUUGGAGAGAUGACGGAAGUAAAGAUAGGCUGUUGUAGCAAGCCUGUGCCAAGCCUGGGUUGGGAUCAGGGAGCAGUUGCUUUCAUAUUUUUAUAUUUUCCUUUGUUGCAUGUUCAUUUUAUUUCUAAUUACAAAAUAAUAUACUAAUUGUGAAGCUUUCUACUUCUGAGCUAUACUAUAUGUAUAUACAUACAUACAUAUAUAUAUACACAUAUAUAUAUAUACACACACAUAUAUAUGUAUAUAUAUCUAUCGCAUGUAUAUAUCUAUAUAUGUAUAUAUAUAUCACAUGUAUAUAUCUAUCUCCACCUAACAGAAUUACAGUUGCUUUUGCCCACUCAAUAUAUUAUUAGUGUCUUCUUUUAUUAUUAAGUAUUUAAAAUAGCUGUAUAUACCACCUGUAGGCAAUUGUUGGCCAUACACGUUAUUUUUAAAACUUUUUAAUCACAUGCCACUCAUGUGAAUAUUGUUACAACUCAAUCUUGGCAUUUUUGUUUAUUUCUGUAGACUCUAUUCUGAGGAAGAGAUUUAUGGCCUGUAGGAGGAUAAGUAUUUGCAAGAGUUUUGAAUGAAAUAAGCAACUUACUAUUAUGGGAUUUAACUUCAAAUUAUGUACUCCUAUACUACUCUUACCAUUGUUUAAUAGCAUGCAUUUUAAUAGACCUUUUUAACUUUUCCAAAGCACUUUCACAUUGAUUAUACACCCAAUUUCACCCAUUAAGGCAUGUGAUACUUUUACUCUUAUCUGAAACUAUUUCAGAUAGCUUUUAUGUUUCAGAAGGUAGAAUCAGAGCUACAAUUUAAAGGGAUUAAAAAAAAAAAAAAAAGAAUCUUAGUUAUCCCGAAUAUGAAUCCUGCUCUGAGUAUGAAUCCUUCGUCUGUUUUAUUUCAGUGAAAGUAAGCUCUUGGCUUCACUUUCCAUUGCCCCGUUUGCUUCUGUCCCUCAUUUCCAAAUCUGUUAUGUUGCUAUUCAGAGCAUGAUGAAAACACACUGACCCUCAUUGUCCUUCCCAAGUAAAAUACGCGUCAAGCCUAUUGUGAGGGUAAGAAGUUAGUAGCUCAUGGGACUUGCUGAUCACAAAUGUCACAUUCAGGGUUCUGUAUUCACUGUGGGUUUGGGUAAGAGUGGGGGCUGUAACACCCAGUCAUUCUCUCUUAUGAAAUACUGGAUCUAAGUUUUCUAAUUUAUUAUCAACAGUAAUGUAACCUUUGACUCCCGUAACAAUGAAGCCAGAGGCUCUGUGCUUGGAAAUCUCCAUUGAUAACCCAUCCCCUAAUGAUACUCUCAGCCCUUUUAAAGAGUUAUAAUGGAUUCUCUCUGCCAAGAGUCAUAUACUCAAAUGCCUCCAUGGGCCAGGCAGGUUAUGUAAGAGAGAAUGCAGGGCAGCUGUUAGAAAAACAACGAUCAAUGGCAGCUCAGUGGGGGCCUCUGUGUCAGAGAUGCAGGAGAUUGUGGGAGGACAAGAGCUAAUUGGGGAGCAUUUGUUCUGUCUGAAAGAGAAGGUGCUCCAGCCAGUGGCUGACAUGUGGAAAAGUGGGCCUACUGUUGUUAGAUUUUCUUGUUUAUAGGAGAAGUUAGAAAUCCCAAGUUUUAUGGACUUUCUAAACACAGCGCGAUUCAAAUACAAGUUCUGUAAACACCAUCCAAUGCAAGCACAUAUGUGACAGUAGGCUGGAUCUGGCCCACGGAGGCCGUCACGUGACUUGCAUCUGUCGUGGCAACUCCUGUGAGGAUUUGAAUAAGCCUGCAGAGCUCAGAAAAUAUGUGAGCACUGUACUGGAUGUGCACCAGAGCCCAGGAGAUAAUGAAAGUGAAACAGCCCCUUCAAAAGAGGCGGUCUCUUUUAAAUUUUAAGAGGCCUUUUAGCUCUUCGCUACCAUUACUAUAAGAAUGAGGACCACUCUCGGCCAUAGGACUGUUGACGUUUCAGAAAAUGUCAACAUCACGCUGCAGGGACAUACAGCGUGUCCUCAGACUUGUCUGUGAUAUUUUACAGAUGCAAUAAAAGCCAUGUAUGGAUUUGGGGCCGGCGGGGGCGGGGGGAGGGGGAGUCUUUGAAAAUUGUGGACCUCUAAUGAGA
Herpailurus yagouaroundi (jaguarundi) is the source of this 7237-nucleotide long non-coding RNA. RefSeq lists it as uncharacterized. NCBI's taxonomy places the organism in Eukaryota, Metazoa, Chordata, Mammalia, Carnivora, Felidae. The record is from RefSeq and is a predicted model, not a curated record. The transcript is spliced from 2 exons.